This 82-nucleotide transfer RNA is filed under the name Danio rerio (zebrafish). Its description in RNAcentral is "tRNA-Ser (TGA) (tRNA-Ser-TGA-32-1)". It matches the Rfam family "tRNA". From Rfam's summary of the family: Transfer RNA (tRNA) molecules are approximately 80 nucleotides in length. Their secondary structure includes four short double-helical elements and three loops (D, anti-codon, and T loops). Further hydrogen bonds mediate the characteristic L-shaped molecular structure. tRNAs have two regions of fundamental functional importance: the anti-codon, which is responsible for specific mRNA codon recognition, and the 3' end, to which the tRNAs corresponding amino acid is attached (by aminoacyl-tRNA synthetases). tRNAs cope with the degeneracy of the genetic code in two manners: having more than one tRNA (with a specific anti-codon) for a particular amino acid; and 'wobble' base-pairing, i.e. permitting non-standard base-pairing at the 3rd anti-codon position. The record is from Rfam by way of RNAcentral. Lineage: Eukaryota; Metazoa; Chordata; Actinopteri; Cypriniformes; Danionidae.
GUAGUCGUGGCCGAGUGGUUAAGGCGAUGGACUUGAAAUCCAUUGGGGUCUCACCGCGCAGGUUCGAAUCCUGCCGACUACG